Molecule: ribosomal RNA, 480 nt
Filed under: Fusarium oxysporum f. sp. ciceris
Lineage: Eukaryota; Fungi; Ascomycota; Sordariomycetes; Hypocreales; Nectriaceae
Description: eukaryotic LSU rRNA
Rfam family: 5.8S ribosomal RNA (bases 137-290)
Source: RNAcentral
CUCCCAAACCCCUGUGAACAUACCAAUUGUUGCCUCGGCGGAUCAGCCCGCUCCCGGUAAAACGGGACGGCCCGCCAGAGGACCCCUAAACUCUGUUUCUAUAUGUAACUUCUGAGUAAAACCAUAAAUAAAUCAAAACUUUCAACAACGGAUCUCUUGGUUCUGGCAUCGAUGAAGAACGCAGCAAAAUGCGAUAAGUAAUGUGAAUUGCAGAAUUCAGUGAAUCAUCGAAUCUUUGAACGCACAUUGCGCCCGCCAGUAUUCUGGCGGGCAUGCCUGUUCGAGCGUCAUUUCAACCCUCAAGCCCCCGGGUUUGGUGUUGGGGAUCGGCGAGCCCUUGCGGCAAGCCGGCCCCGAAAUCUAGUGGCGGUCUCGCUGCAGCUUCCAUUGCGUAGUAGUAAAACCCUCGCAACUGGUACGCGGCGCGGCCAAGCCGUUAAACCCCCAACUUCUGAAUGUUGACCUCGGAUCAGGUAGGAA